AGAAGUCAGGACGGGGCUCUUCCCACCCUUCCUGAUGUUGUUGAACUGUCUCAGAAGCAAACUCUCUCAGACCCCAAGGGAGGAGGCUCACUGGCCCAUGGAGAGUCCUCACUGCCAUAGCAGCCCUCCCCAGGGAUCUGAAAGGGAGACACCAAGGAGGGAGAAACCAGAUGUGUUGCGGGCAGACUGAAAAGCAAAACGUGAGUAG
This 208-nucleotide long non-coding RNA is filed under the name Rattus norvegicus (Norway rat). Its description in RNAcentral is "long non-coding RNA NONRATT008022". The record is from RNAcentral. Lineage: Eukaryota; Metazoa; Chordata; Mammalia; Rodentia; Muridae.